AUUAUUCAGUUGGUGCAAAAGUAAUUGCGGUUUUUGCAAAAAAAAAAAAAAAAGUGAAAACCGCAAUUACUUUUACACCAACAUAAUACAUGGAA
Molecule: microRNA precursor, 95 nt
Organism: Chlorocebus sabaeus (green monkey)
Lineage: Eukaryota; Metazoa; Chordata; Mammalia; Primates; Cercopithecidae
Source: Ensembl